CCCUUAGAUGUUCUGGGCCGCACGCGCGCUACACUGAUGCAUUCAACAAGCCUAGCCUUGACCGAGAGGUCCGGGUAAUCUUUGAAACUGCAUCGUGAUGGGGCUAGAUUAUUGCAAUUAUUAAUCUUCAACGAGGAAUGCCUAGUAAGCGUGAUUCAUCAAAUCGCGUUGAUUACGUCCCUGCCCUUUGUACACACCGCCCGUCGCUCCUACCGAUUGAAUGGUUUAGUGAGGACUCCUGAUUGGCGCCGCCGCCCCGGCAACGGAGCAGCGGACUGCCGAAAAGUUGUUCAAACUUGAUCAUUUAGAGGAAGUAAAAGUCGUAACA
RNAcentral lists this ribosomal RNA (328 nucleotides) under uncultured eukaryote. RNAcentral describes it as "partial 18S ribosomal RNA". It matches the Rfam family "Eukaryotic small subunit ribosomal RNA", at positions 1470 to 1796 of the family's 1831-position model. The record is from RNAcentral.